This 253-nucleotide ribosomal RNA is filed under the name uncultured bacterium. RNAcentral describes it as "partial 16S ribosomal RNA". It matches the Rfam family "Bacterial small subunit ribosomal RNA", at positions 524 to 776 of the family's 1533-position model. The record is from RNAcentral.
UACAGAGGUCCCAAGCGUUGUUCGGAUUCACUGGGCGUAAAGGGUGCGUAGGUGGCGAGGUAAGUCGGAUGUGAAAGCUCGGAGCUCAACUCCGAAAUGGCAUUGGAAACUACCUUGCUUGAGGGUUGGAAGGGGGACUGGAAUUCUCGGUGUAGCAGUGAAAUGCGUAGAUAUCGAGAGGAACACCAGUGGCGAAGGCGAGUCCCUGGACAAUACCUGACACUGAGGCACGAAAGCGUGGGGAGCAAACAGG